GAGUUUGAUCUUGGCUCAGGAUGAACGCUGGCGGCGUGCUUAACACAUGCAAGUCGAACGAAGCACUCAGGAGCGAUUUCGGUCAAUCCUGUUUGACUGAGUGGCGGACGGGUGAGUAACGCGUGAGUAACCUACCUCGCAGUGGGGAAUAACAGUUGGAAACGACUGCUAAUACCGCAUAAUGCAGAGAGACCGCAUGAUCUUUCUGCCAAAGAUUUAUCGCUGUGAGAUGGACUCGCGUCUGAUUAGCUAGUUGGUGAGGUAACGGCUCACCAAGGCGACGAUC
Molecule: ribosomal RNA, 286 nt
Filed under: bacterium enrichment culture clone ALO1_GLFRUDD03F97FO
Lineage: Bacteria
Description: partial 16S ribosomal RNA
Rfam family: Bacterial small subunit ribosomal RNA
Source: RNAcentral